Molecule: ribosomal RNA, 406 nt
Filed under: uncultured bacterium
Lineage: Bacteria
Description: partial 16S ribosomal RNA
Rfam family: Bacterial small subunit ribosomal RNA
Source: RNAcentral
AUUGAACGCUGGCGGCAUGCCUCACACAUGCAAGUCGAGCGAGCGGCGGACGGGUGUGUAAUGUCUGGGAAACUGCCUGAUGGAGGGGGAUAACUACUGGAAACGGUAGCUAUUACCGCAUACCAUCAGAUGUGCCCAGAUGGGAUUAGCUCGUAGUUGGGGUAACGGCUCACCUAGGCGACGAUCCCUAGCUGGUCUGAGAGGAUGACCAGCCACACUGGGACUGGGAUACGGGCCAGACUCCUACGGGAGGCAGCAGUGGGGAAUAUUGCACAAUGGGGGCAAGCCUGAUGCAGCCAUGCCGCGUGUGUGAAGAAGGCCUUCGGGUUGUAAAGCAAUUUCAGCGGGGAGGCGUUACCCACAGAAGAAGCACCGGCUAACUCCGUGCCAGCCGCCGCGGUAAUAC